GAUGAAGAACGCAGCAAAAUGCGAUAAGUAAUGUGAAUUGCAGAAUUCAGUGAAUCAUCGAAUCUUUGAACGCACAUUGCGCCCGCUGGUAUUCCGGCGGGCAUGCCUGUUCGAGCGUCAUUUCAACCCUCAAGCCCCCGGGUUUGGUGUUGGGGAUCGGCUCUGCCCUUCUGGGCGGUGCCGCCCCCGAAAUACAUUGGCGGUCUCGCUGCAGCCUCCAUUGCGUAGUAGCUAACACCUCGCAACUGGAACGCGCGCGGCCAUGCCGUAAAACCCCAACUUCUGAAUGUUGACCUCGGAUCAGGUAGGAAUACCCGCUGAACUUAAGCAUAUCAAUAAGCGGAGGA
This 347-nucleotide unclassified non-coding RNA is filed under the name soil metagenome. RNAcentral describes it as "partial contains 5.8S ribosomal RNA, internal transcribed spacer 2, and large subunit ribosomal RNA". The stretch from base 1 to 120 matches the Rfam family "5.8S ribosomal RNA", at positions 35 to 154 of the family's 154-position model. The record is from RNAcentral.